CACGGUUCCCCAUUACAUAGUCUCCUGGUUAUUUAUAACAGAGGGUAAAAUUAAAAUGAAGCUUUUUGGCUGACACCGCUCUCCACAAUAUAAUUUAUCAGCUAAAAUGUAUAUGAGCCUGCUGUUGUCAUAUAGGAGUAAAAGUUAAAUGAAUGGUCGAAGGAGUCAUCAGCUCUCAGUUGGAAAAAAACCAAAUACUUCACUUGGGAUAUAUGAAGAAUAAAAAUAAUUGAAAUAAGACAAAUCUUCACAAGAAACUUCCAGGUUAUGAACCAGGAAAUGCCCUUCAGGAGUAAUAACCAUCCCAGCAGAACUCUCUUUUAUAUGAAAUCUAAAAAAGGGCCAAGGAAUCUGUAUUUUCUUAAAUACUCAGAGUGAUGCUGAUGUGGAGUGGACUUGUGGCUCCCACAGGCACAGGAAACCCUGGCUCCCAGGCCGCUCAUCCUGAUGUAUUCUCUCUAUGUAGAAAAAAAG
This 474-nucleotide long non-coding RNA is filed under the name Heterocephalus glaber (naked mole-rat). Its description in RNAcentral is "lncRNA (ENSHGLG00100037915.1)". The record is from RNAcentral. Lineage: Eukaryota; Metazoa; Chordata; Mammalia; Rodentia; Bathyergidae.